RNAcentral lists this long non-coding RNA (237 nucleotides) under Chrysemys picta bellii (western painted turtle). Its description in RNAcentral is "lncRNA (ENSCPBG00000012307.1)". The record is from RNAcentral. Lineage: Eukaryota; Metazoa; Chordata; Testudines; Emydidae.
CGGGGUCCCCGCCCCGAUCGCCUCCUUUCUGUGCCGGGGAGCCAUGGUGUAUGCUGGCAGCGGGAGAGCAUGAAGCCUGCAGGAUGGGCGCGAACAAUGGCAAACAGUACGGCAGUGAGGUGGAUGUGGAGGAGGGUGAACUAGUCAUCUGGAUAUACAUCUUCAGAACAGAUCAAGCCUGGGAUGCUGGCAAAGGUGCCUUAAUCCUGUUCUGGAGGGACCAUGCCUCUGGAUGAA